Podarcis lilfordi (Lilford's wall lizard) is the source of this 74-nucleotide non-coding RNA. The record is from the annotation of a GenBank genome assembly. NCBI's taxonomy places the organism in Eukaryota, Metazoa, Chordata, Lepidosauria, Squamata, Lacertidae.
GCCUGGAUAGCUCAGCUGGCCAGAGCGUGGUGCUGAUAGCGCCAAGGUUGCAGGUUCAAACCCCAUAUGGGACA